RNAcentral lists this ribosomal RNA (378 nucleotides) under uncultured bacterium. RNAcentral describes it as "bacterial SSU rRNA". It matches the Rfam family "Bacterial small subunit ribosomal RNA", at positions 521 to 896 of the family's 1533-position model. The record is from RNAcentral.
UAAUACGAAGGGUGCAAGCGUUAAUCGGACUUACUGGGCGUAAAGGGUGCGUAGGUGGUCUGUUAAGUCGGAUGUGAAAUCCCCGGGCUCAACCUGGGAAUGGCAUCUGAUACUGGCGGACUUGGAGUCUUGGAGAGGGUGGUGGAAUUCCUGGUGUAGCGGUGAAAUGCGUAGAGAUCAGGAGGAACACUAGUGGCGAAGGCGGCCACCUGGCCAAAGACUGACGCUGAGGCACGAAAGCGUGGGGAGCAAACAGGAUUAGAUACCCUGGUAGUCCACGCCCUAAACGAUGAUCACUGGACGUUGGGAGGAAUUGGCCUCUUAGUGUCGAAGCUAACGCGUGAAGUGAUCCGCCUGGGGAGUACGCUCGCAAGAGUG